This is a long non-coding RNA of Arachis stenosperma, 563 nucleotides long. RefSeq lists it as uncharacterized. The record is from RefSeq and is a predicted model, not a curated record. Lineage: Eukaryota; Viridiplantae; Streptophyta; Magnoliopsida; Fabales; Fabaceae. The transcript is spliced from 3 exons.
AAAUCACCAAGAGAAAAAGGAGAGAAAGUUCUUGGUUCAUAAAUCUUCAAAACUUGAUUUCUUCUGAACUAAAACUCAAAUCAAAACUCCGAUUUCACCAAAAUGAUCCUCUCUUCUUCCUCUACAAAACCAUGUGAAUUAUCAAGGCUGGAAAUAAGGAGGAAAAAGUGCUUAAGGACCACCUGAAAGUUUGAUUGAAUUAGGAGCAGCAAAACCAGGUAGCAUUCGGAUGGAUUUGAUGGAGUUUUAUAGAAGCAGAGGAAGAAAGUGGAUGAUGUUGUCAACUCUGACCUCCUUGCACUCUAAUAGACAUAACUUGAGCUACAGAGGUCUAAUUGAUGCGGUUUUAGCAGCAUUGAAAAGCUAACUUUUAUAUCUUUCCAACAAUAUAUAAUAAUAUACACUUCUUUUUCAAUUUGUACGGCCAUGUUGGCACCUAACUUGGAAUUUCCCAAGUUAAGCGCCGGAGGAAGACAAGCACGCAUAAUCCAUUCGGCCAUAUUGGCGCCUAACUUGGCUUUUCCCAAGUUAGGCGCCAGAAGAAGGGCUUGUGCUUAAAAAUC